RNAcentral lists this ribosomal RNA (312 nucleotides) under uncultured Oscillospiraceae bacterium. RNAcentral's name for it is "partial 16S ribosomal RNA". Lineage: Bacteria; Bacillati; Bacillota; Clostridia; Eubacteriales; Oscillospiraceae. The record is from RNAcentral.
GGAGUUUGGACCGCCUCUCAGUCCCAAUGUGGCCGUUCAACCUCUCAGUCCGGCUACUGAUCGUCGACUUGGUGGGCCGUUACCUCACCAACUAUCUAAUCAGACGCGAGCCCAUCUUUCAGCGAUAAAUCUUUGGUUGCAUGGAGAUGCCUCCUCGCAACGUUAUGCGGUAUUAGCAGUCGUUUCCAACUGUUGUCCCCCUCUGAAAGGCAGGUUGCUCACGUGUUACUCACCCGUCCGCCACUAACUUCAGGAGCAAGCUCCUGUCGUCCGUUCGACUUGCAUGUGUUAGGCGCGCCGCCAGCGUUCGUC